GAUGAACGCUGGCGGCGUGCUUAACACAUGCAAGUCGAACGAUGACCCGGUGCUUGCACCGGUGAUUAGUGGCGAACGGGUGAGUAACACGUGAGUAACCUGCCCUUAACUCUGGGAUAAGCCUGGGAAACCGGGUCUAAUACCGGAUAUGACUCCAUGACGCAUGUUGUGGGGUGAAAGCCUUGUGCGGCUGAGGAUGGGCCCGCGGCCUAUCAGCUUGUUGGUGGGGUGAUGGCCUACCAAGGCGACGACGGUAGCCGGCCUGAGAGGGCGACCGGCCACACUGGGACUGAGACACGGCCCAGACUCCUACGGGAGGCAGCAGUGGGGAAUAUUGGACAAUGGGCGCAAGCCUGAUCCAGCCAUGCCGCGUGUGUGAA
RNAcentral lists this ribosomal RNA (380 nucleotides) under uncultured bacterium. RNAcentral describes it as "bacterial SSU rRNA". It matches the Rfam family "Bacterial small subunit ribosomal RNA", at positions 28 to 409 of the family's 1533-position model. The record is from RNAcentral.